UAUAAAUCAUAUUUUCAGGGCUAAAUAAU
This 29-nucleotide non-coding RNA is filed under the name Rattus norvegicus (Norway rat). Lineage: Eukaryota; Metazoa; Chordata; Mammalia; Rodentia; Muridae. The record is from RNAcentral.